Molecule: small RNA, 29 nt
Filed under: Bombyx mori (domestic silkworm)
Lineage: Eukaryota; Metazoa; Arthropoda; Insecta; Lepidoptera; Bombycidae
Description: ovarian small RNA-9435
Source: RNAcentral
UUAUCAGCAACAGGGGCCUGGUCGCCUAC